UGGUGAUCGGGUCUUCUGAGUCCGCAGUACUCAGGCUACGUGUGCCUCUGCAGCAGGUGCAGGCCCAGCAGUCAUCA
This is a small RNA of Lepisosteus oculatus (spotted gar), 77 nucleotides long. It matches the Rfam family "bZIP non canonical Hac1/Xbp1 intron". Rfam says of the family: bZIP intron RNA is a non-canonical intron that was first reported in HAC1 gene in yeast and XBP1 gene in Metazoa. The record is from Rfam. Lineage: Eukaryota; Metazoa; Chordata; Actinopteri; Semionotiformes; Lepisosteidae.